AUGCUGUCCCCAAGCGAGGCACCCGAUGCAUCGUCUUCAUCCUCAACAGCUGCAGCCCAGCUUCGGCACUGCAAUCUUCCACCUGCAGGUCCAACAUCCGCAUCGAGCAGCAGUGUGUCAGUUCGAUGGGAAAAGUCGGUUUUUAGUCCCUCAUGGAGGCCAUGCAGUUUAUGGCGUAUGUCUGUGUCCAGGCCGGUGCUUUGUGGACAGACCUUCAAAAUUCAGGACAUCUUAAAGGAGAAAGGUAGGGUUCUCUUGAGGAAGUUUGGGUGCCUCGGUGUAGCAGGAAUUGCUGAGUAUAUCUUGAAGGAGAUCUUUCUUUCUGGUAAAGUAUGUUUUAUUUAUGUAGAUGUCCAUCUGUACUAUAAUCUGGUAGUAAUAGUUUCAUUCUCGGAUGCAUGUUCUGCUUUCAUGUAA
Molecule: ribosomal RNA, 417 nt
Filed under: Triticum aestivum (bread wheat)
Lineage: Eukaryota; Viridiplantae; Streptophyta; Magnoliopsida; Poales; Poaceae
Description: partial small subunit ribosomal RNA
Source: RNAcentral